CUGUUUACUAAAGAAAACAUGAAUAAUGACAGGAACCGUCGAGGAAUCGUCCAGAGUGCAUGGGAAACGAGCAAGUGGGACAAACUCAGCAGGAAAAGGUUGUCCCUGAGGAUUGGCCUCGUCACCCUAUCGACUACGCCAGGAUCCGCAUCUCCCACAAUCCUCUGGCUCUCCUCUGGUGGUGUCUUUCUUUAGCCCCGUGUUUGGAUGUUGGCAGACACUGAUGAUGAACUGCUACAACUACUUGAACUACACUGGCACCCUCCCCCUUCC
Molecule: long non-coding RNA, 273 nt
Filed under: Sinocyclocheilus anshuiensis
Lineage: Eukaryota; Metazoa; Chordata; Actinopteri; Cypriniformes; Cyprinidae
Description: lncRNA (ENSSANG00000038857.1)
Source: RNAcentral